RNAcentral lists this ribosomal RNA (549 nucleotides) under uncultured Glomeromycotina. Its description in RNAcentral is "SSU rRNA". It matches the Rfam family "Eukaryotic small subunit ribosomal RNA", at positions 548 to 1098 of the family's 1831-position model. Lineage: Eukaryota; Fungi; Glomeromycota. The record is from RNAcentral.
UUGGAGGGCAAGUCUGGUGCCAGCAGCCGCGGUAAUUCCAGCUCCAAUAGCGUAUAUUAAAGUUGUUGCAGUUAAAAAGCUCGUAGUUGAAUUUCGGGAUCAAUUUAUCGGUCGUGCCUACGGUAUGAACUGGUACAAUUGGUUUCUCCCUUCUGACGAAGCAUGAUGUCAUUAAUUUGGUGUCGUGGGGAAUCAGGACUGUUACUUUGAAAAAAUUAGAGUGUUUAAAGCAAGCAUUAGCUUGAAUACAUUAGCAUGGAAUAAUGAAAUAGGACGUUUGAUCCUAUUUCGUUGGUUUCUAGGAUCGACGUAAUGAUUAAUAGGGAUAGUUGGGGGCAUUAGUAUUCAAUUGUCAGAGGUGAAAUUCUUGGAUUUAUUGAAGACUAACUACUGCGAAAGCAUUUGCCAAGGAUGUCUUCAUUAAUCAAGAACGAAAGUUAGGGGAUCGAAGACGAUCAGAUACCGUCGUAGUCUUAACCAUAAACUAUGCCGACUAGGGAUCGGAUGAUGUUAAUUUUUUAAUGACUCAUUCGGCGCCUUACGGGAAAC